UGGGGUAUGAUUCAGUGGUAGAGCACUUGCCUAGCAUGCAUGAGGCCCUGGGUUCCAUCCCCCAGGACUUCAA
Molecule: transfer RNA, 73 nt
Filed under: Marmota monax (woodchuck)
Lineage: Eukaryota; Metazoa; Chordata; Mammalia; Rodentia; Sciuridae
Description: tRNA.Ala
Source: RNAcentral